Molecule: long non-coding RNA, 571 nt
Organism: Eptesicus fuscus (big brown bat)
Lineage: Eukaryota; Metazoa; Chordata; Mammalia; Chiroptera; Vespertilionidae
Exons: 4
Source: RefSeq, a predicted model, not a curated record
GAAUGAACUUCGACUACACUCACUAAGGUUGCUGGGUGACUUCUGUUCCUUGUUGUGCUCAGACUGAUGUCACCAUUUCCUUGUUGCCUGCCUGCUGUGAGCUGCUCAUUCUCAGCUUCUAGAGCAAUCUAUCUUCCUUCUUACAUGCCCCGCCUCCUUCUUCAAACCAGCAAUGGCCAGUUUUCUUUUCAGAUACCACAAAAGGUUUUCUGCAGCAACUAUUACCUGUCCAUCUCCCGAACGGCCAGCAGUAAAACAAGGAUUUAAAUUCUGAGUUCUUCGAUCCAAACCUGAGAUAGCAAUGUAUUCGACAACAAAAGGAAAGCCAAUAUGCAUCAGAAACCCCUCAAAAGAAAAGUCCUCUGCCACUGCGCUCUGCCCAGAACAAGGACCUGAUGCUAAGAAGUGUAGCCACCAUCAGGUAAGAAGGAAGCAGCCUGUGGGAGGAUGCAGGUCAACACGCCCUGGAUGACCGAGGAGAAAGGAAGGUCUGUGAUGUUGAGACGCUCAAGGUGCUGGCUUCGGAACUUAUUGUUAUUUGAGAAAAAAAUAAACCCUUAUUUGUUUAAAG